Molecule: ribosomal RNA, 467 nt
Filed under: uncultured bacterium
Lineage: Bacteria
Description: partial 16S ribosomal RNA
Rfam family: Bacterial small subunit ribosomal RNA
Source: RNAcentral
ACGAACGCUGGCGGCGUGCUUCACCCCUGCAAGUCGAACGGAAAGGCCCUGCUUUUGUGGGGUGCUCGAGUGGCGAACGGGUGAGUAACACGUGAGUAACCUGCCCUUGACUUUGGGAUAACUUCAGGAAACUGGGGCUAAUACCGGAUAUGAGCUCCUGCUGCAUGGUGGGGGUUGGAAAGUUUCGGCGGUUGGGGAUGGACUCGCGGCUUAUCAGCUUGUUGGUGGGGUAGUGGCUUACCAAGGCUUUGACGGGUAGCCGGCCUGAGAGGGUGACCGGCCACAUUGGGACUGAGAUACGGCCCAGACUCCUACGGGAGGCAGCAGUGGGGAAUAUUGCACAAUGGGCGGAAGCCUGAUGCAGCAACGCCGCGUGCGGGAUGACGGCCUUCGGGUUGUAAACCGCUUUCGCCUGUGACGAAGCGUGAGUGACGGUAAUGGGUAAAGAAGCACCGGCUAACUACGUG